UACGUAGGUGGCAAGCGUUAUCCGGAUUUACUGGGUGUAAAGGGCGCGUAGGCGGGCAUGCAAGUCAGAUGUGAAAUUUAUGGGCUUAACCCAUAACCUGCAUUUGAAACUGUGUGUCUUGAGUGAUGGAGAGGUAAGUGGAAUUCCUAGUGUAGCGGUGGAAUGCGUAGAUAUUAGGAGGAACACCAGUGGCGAAGGCGACUUACUGGACAUUAACUGACGCUGAGGCGCGAAAGCGUGGGGAGCAAAC
RNAcentral lists this ribosomal RNA (250 nucleotides) under uncultured bacterium. RNAcentral describes it as "partial 16S ribosomal RNA". It matches the Rfam family "Bacterial small subunit ribosomal RNA", at positions 524 to 773 of the family's 1533-position model. The record is from RNAcentral.